This 484-nucleotide ribosomal RNA is filed under the name uncultured bacterium. RNAcentral describes it as "partial 16S ribosomal RNA". It matches the Rfam family "Bacterial small subunit ribosomal RNA", at positions 30 to 507 of the family's 1533-position model. The record is from RNAcentral.
AUUGAACGCUGGCGGCAGGCCUAACACAUGCAAGUCGAGCGGAUGAAGGGAGCUUGCUCCUGGAUUCAGCGGCGGCCGGGUGAGUAAUGCCUAGGAAUCUGCCUGGUAGUGGGGGAUAACGUCCGGAAACGGGCGCUAAUACCGCAUACGUCCUGAGGGAGAAAGUGGGGGAUCUUCGGACCUCACGCUAUCAGAUGAGCCUAGGUCGGAUUAGCUAGUUGGUGGGGUUAAGGCCUACCAAGGCGACGAUCCGUAACUGGUCUGAGAGGAUGAUCAGUCACACUGUAACUGAGACACGGUACAGACUCCUACGGGGGGCAGCAGUGGGGAAUAUUGGACGAUGGGGGAAAGCCUGAUCCAGCCAUGCCGCGUGUGUGAAGAAGGUCUUCGGAUGGUAAAGCACUUUAAGUUGUGAGGAAGGGCAGUAAGUUAAUACCUGGCUGUUUUGACGGUACCAACAGAAUAAGCACCGGCUAACUUCGUG